UCCGGAGGAUGAAGAAAGUAGAACCUGUUCAGUGCUUGCGGCUCUACUGAUACUCUCCUCCUAUAGAAACUGGGCCAAGAGAACAACCCCACUUCUAGUGAAAGCCGGGGGUUCACUGUGCAGCCCAACAAUU
Molecule: non-coding RNA, 133 nt
Organism: Carcharodon carcharias (great white shark)
Lineage: Eukaryota; Metazoa; Chordata; Chondrichthyes; Lamniformes; Lamnidae
Product: small Cajal body-specific RNA 4
Exons: 1
Source: RefSeq, a predicted model, not a curated record